Malus domestica (apple) is the source of this 480-nucleotide non-coding RNA. NCBI's taxonomy places the organism in Eukaryota, Viridiplantae, Streptophyta, Magnoliopsida, Rosales, Rosaceae. The record is from RefSeq and is a predicted model, not a curated record.
CUAUGAUACACCCUUAGUUAUUAUCCCCCCUCAAUCUCAGCUAGGGUAACCUAGUAUGAGAUUGCAACAAUGGCGAAUAAAAGCAGGACCAUGCAACCCUUUUGUCAAGAUAUCUGCAGUCUGAUGGGUUUGAACAGAGAGCUAAAGCAGAAAGAUUGUCACAUUGCAACAAUGGUGGUUCAGACAUGAACUGAUGUAGAUCUUUUAACAGUAGUCGUAUCCAGACAAUAUCAGCUGCACAAUGUGCCAAGGCUUUAUAUUCUGCCUCUGUUGAACUUUUUGAGACUGAGGCUUGCUUCUUAGACUGCCACGAUAUAGGAUUGGACCCCAUGAAAACCACAAACCCAGUAACAGAUCUCCUUGUAUUCGGAUCGGCAGCCCAAUCAGAAUCUGAGAAAGCAGUUAAGGAUGUGUCCUAUGAUGCUGAAUAUGUAAUUCCACACUGCAAAGUACCUUGUAUAUACCUUAAGAUUCUUUUAA